Molecule: ribosomal RNA, 211 nt
Filed under: uncultured bacterium
Lineage: Bacteria
Description: partial 16S ribosomal RNA
Rfam family: Bacterial small subunit ribosomal RNA
Source: RNAcentral
AGUUCGGAUGUAGGCUGAAACUCGCCUACAUGAAGCUGGAGUUACUAGUAAUCGCAGAUCAGAAUGCUGCGGUGAAUGCGUUCCCGGGUCUUGUACACACCGCCCGUCACACCACGGAAGUUGGGGCGCCCGAAGCCACUUAGCUAACCCUUUUGGGAAGCGAGUGUCGAAGGUGAAAUCAAUAACUGGGGUGAAGUCGUAACAAGGUACC